UACGUAGGGGGCAAGCGUUAUCCGGAUUUAUUGGGUUUAAAGGGUGCGUAGGCGGUUUGAUAAGUUAGAGGUGAAAUACCGGUGCUUAACACCGGAACUGCCUCUAAUACUGUUGAGCUAGAGAGUAGUUGCGGUAUGCGGAAUGCGCGGUGUAGCGGUGAAAUGCAUAGAUAUCGCGCAGAACUCCGAUUGCGAAGGCAGCAUGCCGGCUCCACACUGACGCUGAGGCACGAAAGCGUGGGUAUCGAACAGG
This 253-nucleotide ribosomal RNA is filed under the name uncultured bacterium. RNAcentral's name for it is "partial 16S ribosomal RNA". It matches the Rfam family "Bacterial small subunit ribosomal RNA", at positions 524 to 776 of the family's 1533-position model. The record is from RNAcentral.